RNAcentral lists this ribosomal RNA (74 nucleotides) under Streptomyces albidoflavus. Its description in RNAcentral is "partial 16S ribosomal RNA". It matches the Rfam family "Bacterial small subunit ribosomal RNA", at positions 1 to 72 of the family's 1533-position model. The record is from RNAcentral. RNAcentral also lists the same sequence under 3 other names. Lineage: Bacteria; Bacillati; Actinomycetota; Actinomycetes; Kitasatosporales; Streptomycetaceae.
CAUUCACGGAGAGUUUGAUCCUGGCUCAGGACGAACGCUGGCGGCGUGCUUAACACAUGCAAGUCGAACGAUGA